Molecule: long non-coding RNA, 1881 nt
Organism: Mauremys mutica (yellowpond turtle)
Lineage: Eukaryota; Metazoa; Chordata; Testudines; Geoemydidae
Exons: 3
Source: RefSeq, a predicted model, not a curated record
ACCUCCCGUCAGGCUGCAACCCCUGCUGGAUCUGAAUAGGAAAACAGCAGUGUGGGUGGCCCAGCUGUUGAGGACAUAGGGCCUCAACAUUAGCACUGGUUCCCUCAGCCAGACCACAGAAUAUCCCCCCGCUUCACAUCAAGGCUUUUAGCAGCAGACAUCUACAGAGAUCUCUGCUACUAACCCCCAGCAAACAGGAACAUUAGCUCAUUAAAUAAUUUGGCAUGAAAUAUAGCACUUUCAGCUGUGCAAAACUUGGCAGUUCUGGGGAGAAUGAGCUGGUGAGUUUGGGGAAAGGGAGAGGAAAGUCUGGAGAAGAGGUGUUGGUGGGAGACCUUGGAGGGGUCUGUGGGAAACAGAGAAUUCUGGGAAGAGUGUAUAUAGCAAGAAGUCUGGAAGGGAAAGCGGAGAGGCUGGAGUGUGAUGUAGGAGGUUGACACUGAACAGACUAUCUGAAUGCUGUUCCAGACCAGGAUAUGGAGCCCUUCAAAGACUGCUCUGUAGCAAAAGGAGACUGAGAUAACAAUACCAUCUGAUUUAUUUGUCCAAGCUGAGCUAACACAACAGAUGGUUUGGCUAUUGAAUACUGCUUGUGAACAAUCUACAGACCAAGAAGUAUUUGAAGAAAAUGUUCUCAGGAUCACAGGAAAAAGAAGUACUGAAAAAUAGCCAGUGACCAUCUACUUCUUCCAGAGACAGCACGAUCAGGAAGAGGGCUGAGAGCAGCUUGCUUUGGAGAUAACCUGAUCAGGAACCAUUUUACUGGAUGCAGAGCUCUCUAGCUGCUUCUUCCGAAUUACCUCCCACCACUCCAGCCUCUGAGUCCAUCCAUCUGCAGUCUCUCUCACUGGCUUUCCAGAUGAUGGCUAUCAGCACCUGGAUCCUUAUUUGGUAUUUGAUGGCAGUAAUAGUGGGUAUUCAUUACCCAGGUGAAUCCAAAAUUUGUGGAUUAGCCCUAGCCUUGUUUAAAGUAAUUGUUAGAUUAAACUCUUGUCCAUGAACUGAAGAGACAUUAUUGGUUCUGUUGCAGAUCGCUAAUUCUGGGGGGGAAACAGUCCGACUGCCAAUUCAGAUUUCACUGACUUAAAAAUACAUUAGCUCUGGAAAGCAACGCUGCUUACAUGAAAAAAGGAAAUAGCAGAAAUGUUUAUGUUUCAGUAACAGUUACUUUGCAACCUAGAGGAAUUUACUAAAUGAACAGCAGUUUAGGGUCUUCAAGGCUUAGCAAUGCGAAUAGUAUCUAAUGCAUUUGAAUAAGAAGCAGUUACAAGAGUAAGCUGAGUGGUGCAACAGUCUGUAUAUUUUAUUUUCUGACAGACUUAUAAUUGGAUUGAUGAGUAGCCUGGAGCUCCAGGUACUGUAAGAGAAAUGGGUGGCAAAGAAGAUAGGUAAACGAGCAGCAAGAAAUCUCAACAGAUACGAAAUUCUAAGUUCUCGAUUUAAAAUCACUACUUCAAGGCAAAGGACGAGAAAAGUCUAUUUUGAUCUUAUUAUGGUUUGACAAAACUCUCCAUCACUGAAGUAUAAAAGACAGACUAAUUAUAUGAAAGCAAUGAUUUUUUUUUGGUUUGCUAUAAAACUAAUUAUAAAACAGCUUUUAAUAAAAAAUUCUGUGCCAAAGCCAAUACAUUUUAUAUUGUCCAUUGUAAAAUAAUCCUUGAUGUUGUAGUUUUUAAUUCUUAAUCAAAGUAUUCAUUUAGACUCUAUAAAGGAAAUUAAGGUGUCAUAUGUAACUGAUUUUGUGGACAAUAUUUUCUUUGUAGAUAGCCUGAAGAUAUGAAAUACCUGCAUUAAUAUGGCAUGGGUGUUAACAGAGGGGUGUCUUCACAAUAAUGUGAGCACUUCCGUACUCUUUAAUUAUGAUACUGGGUGUCAGACUGU